AGGGUGCAAGCGUUACUCGGAAUUACUGGGCGUAAAGCGCACGUAGGCGGAUAUUUAAGUCAGGGGUGAAAUCCCAGAGCUCAACUCUGGAACUGCCUUUGAUACUGGGUAUCUUGAGUAUGGAAGAGGUAAGUGGAAUUCCGAGUGUAGAGGUGAAAUUCGUAGAUAUUCGGAGGAACACCAGUGGCGAAGGCGGCUUACUGGUCCACAACUGACGCUGAGGUGCGAAAGCGUGGGGAGCAAACAGG
This 248-nucleotide ribosomal RNA is filed under the name uncultured bacterium. RNAcentral describes it as "partial 16S ribosomal RNA". It matches the Rfam family "Bacterial small subunit ribosomal RNA", at positions 529 to 776 of the family's 1533-position model. The record is from RNAcentral.